RNAcentral lists this unclassified non-coding RNA (352 nucleotides) under soil metagenome. RNAcentral's name for it is "partial contains 5.8S ribosomal RNA, internal transcribed spacer 2, and large subunit ribosomal RNA". The stretch from base 1 to 120 matches the Rfam family "5.8S ribosomal RNA", at positions 35 to 154 of the family's 154-position model. The record is from RNAcentral.
GAUGAAGAACGCAGCGAAAUGCGAUAAGUAAUGUGAAUUGCAGAAUUCAGUGAAUCAUCGAAUCUUUGAACGCACAUUGCGCCCGCCAGUAUUCUGGCGGGCAUGCCUGUUCGAGCGUCAUUACAACCCUCAGGCCCCCGGGCCUGGCGUUGGGGAUCGGCGGAGCCCCCCGUGGGCACACGCCGUCCCCCAAAUGCAGUGGCGGUCCCGCCGCAGCUUCCAUCGCGUAGUAGCUAACACCUCGCGACUGGAGAGCGGCGCGGCCACGCCGUAAAACACCCAACUCUUCUGAAGUUGACCUCGAAUCAGGUAGGAAUACCCGCUGAACUUAAGCAUAUCAAUAAGCGGGGGA